AAAAAACCCUAAUCUCUACGUUUCUCCCUUCAGCCGCCUCACCCUCAUUCUUUUCUUUUCUUCUCUCUAAGUUUCAUGCCUCUCUCUUACCUCUUCACCAUCUCUCUCUUCAUCACCCCCAUUCUUUCUCCCAACUGUAGCCAACCACCACAUCCACUCACCGGCGACGUAGUUGGGCGGCGGCUUGGGGUUGAGGAAGUUGAGUUUGGGCGACGGCUAUGGCUUUCAAUAUGCCCUCUCCGAUUUCCUCAGUGAUGCAGGUUUGUGGGUGGCCAUUGUUUUUUUUUUUUUCCUCUCCGAUCUAUGGAUUUCAAGGGCCGUGGGUGGGUUUGUGUCGAUCUGGUGGUGAUUGCUUGGAUUUGAUGGGGAGUACGAUUAUUAAUCGGCGAUUUUGCAGUUGGAAAUCUAAAUUUCUGUCCCGAUCUACUAGGAACGAGAUCUGCCUACUCCAGCAUUGGAGAUUGGCAUCAUGAUAGCUACUAUACAAAUCAUUGCAUCAACAAAAAAAGAAAAUAACAAAUGGCAUAAGCUGCCGCAUUUAAAGAAUGUUGACAGAUGGAGGAAGUGCUGCAUCUGAGGAUGGGACUACCAAUGUAUGAGAUGCUGCUGUUGGCUCUUUACUCUUGUGAGAACUACUAAUUGUUAUUCGGAUACCUACAUAGGUAAUGAGUACUUUUAUGUUGUUUUCCAAAAUAAAGUCUGGUGAAAAUGUUUUGUUGUUAGCUAAAGGAAUAUAAUUAUAAUGCAAUUGAGAUUUAUGAAGCUUCAGUUUCUGCUGUUC
Molecule: long non-coding RNA, 781 nt
Organism: Quercus robur (English oak)
Lineage: Eukaryota; Viridiplantae; Streptophyta; Magnoliopsida; Fagales; Fagaceae
Exons: 3
Source: RefSeq, a predicted model, not a curated record